AUUUUCUAUGAGAACUACAGCAUGACAAAGGUCAGGAAGCGCUGCCUAAGUCAUCUGGUGAAAGAGGAUGCAAAUGCCACCAAGGAGCUCCAAUUCUGGGCCCCAAAGAGUCAUUAACUGCUGUUCCCUGGAUCCCAGAGUUUUGACUGCACAGAACAGCAAAGAAGAAACCAGAAGUCGGGCUCCAUCCAGUUCCUCACCUGGGUGGAUGAGGCCAGCACCUGAUUGUUUUAGGCUGAGUAGGCUCCUGAAGCUGAGAGCUGAUAAGAGACAUUGAUCUAGGGUUUGCAACUCUCUCUGGUUUCCCGAAGCUGUUUCUCACAGGGCAGGGAGAAGAGGAAUCUGCCAGCCUUUGGAUCAGCGUCUGUCCCAUGGGCAAAGCCUUUAUCCAGCAAGAAGCCAGCUGUGUGGCAAGCAAUGGAGCCACAAUGGGGACAAAGGAUGGAGUUAAGAGCAUUCGUUUUAAAGUCACACAGGACGAAUUCAACUGUCAGACCAGCCAGGUAGCCUCCAGUAAGCUACUUGGACUCUUAAGACUUGAAAGGGCAGCCCUAAAGCCUUCCUCUCACAGGAUUGUUGUAAAGAAUGAAGAAAAUUAUGGCCUGAAACAGUGGCUCAUGCCUAUAAUCCCAGCACUUUGGGAAGCUGAGUCAGGAGUAUCACUUGAGGCGAGGAGUUGGAGACCAGCCUGGGCAACAUAUCAAGACCCCAUCUCUACUGAAAAAAAAAAAAAAGUUUUUAAUUAGCUGGGCAUAGUGACACCCACCUGUAGUCCCAGCUACUGAGGAGGCUAAGGCAGGAGGAUUGUUUGAGCCAAGGAGAUUAAGGCUGUAGUGAGCCAUGAUCAUGCCAUUGCACUCCAGCGUGGACAACAGAACAAGACACUAUUUAAAAAAAAAAAAAAAGAAAGAAAGAAAGAAAACUGAAGAAAAUGAAAUGUGUCCACAAGGCCUGGCCAAGGCAGGCAUCAGAUAUCAGUUGCCCCCAUCUUCCAUGGCUAGAGCCCGGAAGCUCCUGCAGCUCCCGGGACUGGGCUCAGCUCCGACUCCACCAGGAGCACCAGCUUCAAGGUCUUCAUGAAGCAUGUGGGAAUCUGUGGGGCUGCCAACAGCAUUCCCUUCCUAAAACUUCUAGGCAAAACCAGCCUAGCCUCUGAGCUGGCUGUCAUUAUCCAAGAAAUGACAAUGACCUCUAGAACGCUAGGCAGGACUGGCCAGGAGGAUUCCACUGUGACUUGUCCAUCGCCUAUGAAGCCCUGUGGCACACCCCAAAAUGGAAAGCAACUGAGGACCCUCAAGAGAACUGCCAUUCAGGAGCAGUCCCACCAGGGUGGGUUCCGUACACAGGUGCUUGGUGUGAUUGGAGGAACCGAGAUACUCUCUGCACCCCAAGUCUCCCACUCCUUGACUCUGAUAUGCCACAACCAGAUGUCAUCUCACCAGCAUUCAUGAGCACCUACCACUUUCCAGGCACCACGCUGAGUAUUGGGCUUGAUUCCUCUGGGUUAUAUAUUACCACCCCUAAGCGUUUUCUUUUAAAAUGCAAACACCCUCUGAGAAGGGCAAUGCAUUAGUUAGAUUGCUCACACCGCAGACUGAAUUAAUUCAGGGUAUGGGGAGUUCUUUAUUAUAAGAUAUCAGAGAAGGACUAGAUAUCUUUAGCAAACGGGGCAGCUAAAGUUCAGAGGGCAGAGGUGACUACAGAAAAAAGGACCAAGACAGCUGUAACUUUGCAUUUUUCUACAGUGGAUUUCAGUGGCCACAUCUCCUUCCUCCUUUGUCCUUAAUCAAGACAAACAUGCCCAUGCCCAUAACAAGCAGCAGCAGUCCCCAUAAGUGCAGCUGAUGAGUUGGACUCCAUAGGAGAGAGCGGCCAGGGGCUGGCAGCCCUGGCUCUGCUGCAGAGGAGCCGGCCUGCCUUUCACCAUCUCCAGGAUGAGGACGCCCUGAAUCAGUGCCUACUCGCUCCCCAGCAAGUUCAGGGCUUAGAGUUCAGGUAAUUAGGCCCUUGGCAAUCUCACCUGAGCCCGCCAAUAAAACAGACAAACACCUUCAGCUCCUGUUCAGGAGGGAGAGAGGAAACCAGGAGGGAGGAAACCAGGAGGGAGGAAGGGAAGGAGGAAAACUUUUUUCUAUUCUAAGGCUUGGCAACCGGAAGGGAGAAUUCAUUUACAAAGCAGCCACUCCAACACCCCACUCCUGCUCCACACCCAGGGUUGUCCCCUCCUGCCACAGAACCCUGGACUCCAUCUGCCACCAUCAUCGAGGAUGACAGGGGACAUCUUUGCAGGCUGCAACCUGAACAGGCACUGGGCACUGAGGGCCUAACCUUGUAGGGCAGGCAUUCGCCAGCAUGGUUCCUUCCAGCAGAGGAAAGAAGGCUCCCUCCCAUUCCAGGAGCCACACCACCCCCAAAAGAUGUCUGAAAGGCUGCUCCAGAGUGUUAGAGAGCAACUGAGUGACUUCUUUGAACCCUGCCUUGUGUCACCACCAGCUGUUGAGGGCUCAGCUCAGUUCAUGUCUGGGCUCCUUCAGACCGGGGACCAUUCCUUAACCAUCCCUGGAUUGGGACAGUGCCCAGGAGAUACUAGGCACACAGAUUUCGUUUCCCCCCCUAAAUAAUCAACAUUAUUAAUACUUCUUGCAUAUGA
Long non-coding RNA from Homo sapiens (human), 2650 nucleotides. RefSeq lists it as uncharacterized. The record is from RefSeq and is a predicted model, not a curated record. The transcript is spliced from 2 exons. NCBI's taxonomy places the organism in Eukaryota, Metazoa, Chordata, Mammalia, Primates, Hominidae.